Molecule: ribosomal RNA, 504 nt
Filed under: uncultured bacterium
Lineage: Bacteria
Description: bacterial SSU rRNA
Rfam family: Bacterial small subunit ribosomal RNA
Source: RNAcentral
CGCUGGCGGCGUGCCUAAUACAUGCAAGUCGAGCGGAAAUUUAUGGUGCUUGCACCUUAAAGUUUAGCGGCGGACGGGUGAGUAACACGUGGGUAACCUACCUUAUAGAUUGGGAUAACUCCGGGAAACCGGGGCUAAUACCGAAUAAUACUUUUUAACACAUGUUUGAAAGUUGAAAGACGGCAUCUCGCUGUCACUAUAAGAUGGACCCGCGGCGCAUUAGCUAGUUGGUGAGGUAACGGCUCACCAAGGCAACGAUGCGUAGCCGACCUGAGAGGGUGAUCGGCCACACUGGGACUGAGACACGGCCCAGACUCCUACGGGAGGCAGCAGUAGGGAAUCUUCCACAAUGGACGAAAGUCUGAUGGAGCAACGCCGCGUGAGUGAAGAAGGAUUUCGGUUCGUAAAACUCUGUUGCAAGGGAAGAACAAGUAGCGUAGUAACUGGCGCUACCUUGACGGUACCUUGUUAGAAAGCCACGGCUAACUACGUGCCAGCAGCCGC